UGGGGAAUAUUGCACAAUGGGCGCAAGCCUGAUGCAGCCAUGCCGCGUGUGUGAAGAAGGCCUUCGGGUUGUAAAGCACUUUCAGCGAGGAGGAAGGGUAGUGUGUUAAUAGCACAUUGCAUUGACGUUACUCGCAGAAGAAGCACCGGCUAACUCCGUGCCAGCAGCCGCGGUAAUACGGAGGGUGCAAGCGUUAAUCGGAAUUACUGGGCGUAAAGCGCACGCAGGCGGUUUGUUAAGUCAGAUGUGAAAUCCCCGCGCUUAACGUGGGAACUGCAUUUGAAACUGGCAAGCUAGAGUCUUGUAGAGGGGGGUAGAAUUCCCAGGUGUAGCGGUGAAAUGCGUAGAGAUCUGGAGGAAUACCGGUGGCGAAGGCGGCCCCCCUGGACAAAGACUGACGCUCAGGUGCGAAAGCGUGG
Molecule: ribosomal RNA, 419 nt
Filed under: uncultured bacterium
Lineage: Bacteria
Description: partial 16S ribosomal RNA
Rfam family: Bacterial small subunit ribosomal RNA
Source: RNAcentral